RNAcentral lists this ribosomal RNA (253 nucleotides) under uncultured bacterium. Its description in RNAcentral is "partial 16S ribosomal RNA". It matches the Rfam family "Bacterial small subunit ribosomal RNA", at positions 524 to 776 of the family's 1533-position model. The record is from RNAcentral.
UACGAAGGGGGCAAGCGUUGUUCGGAAUUACUGGGCGUAAAGCGCACGCAGGCGGCGCGAGAAGUCAGGAGUGAAAUCCCCGAGCUCAACUUGGGAACUGCUUUUGAAACUUUCGCGCUAGAAUCAUGGAGAGGAUAGCGGAAUUCCGAGUGUAGAGGUGAAAUUCGUAGAUAUUCGGAAGAACACCAGUGGCGAAGGCGGCUAUCUGGCCAUGUAUUGACGCUCAGGUGCGAAAGCGUGGGGAGCAAACAGG